RNAcentral lists this ribosomal RNA (468 nucleotides) under uncultured bacterium. RNAcentral's name for it is "partial 16S ribosomal RNA". It matches the Rfam family "Bacterial small subunit ribosomal RNA", at positions 28 to 507 of the family's 1533-position model. The record is from RNAcentral.
GACGAACGCUGGCGGCGUGCUUAACACAUGCAAGUCGAACGGAAAGGCCCUGCUUUUGUGGGGUGCUCGAGUGGCGAACGGGUGAGUAACACGUGAGUAACCUGCCCUUGACUUUGGGAUAACUUCAGGAAACUGGGGCUAAUACCGGAUAGGAGCUCCUGCUGCAUGGUGGGGGUUGGAAAGUUUCGGCGGUUGGGGAUGGACUCGCGGCUUAUCAGCUUGUUGGUGGGGUAGUGGCUUACCAAGGCUUUGACGGGUAGCCGGCCUGCGAGGGUGACCGGCCACAUUGGGACUGAGAUACGGCCCAGACUCCUACGGGAGGCAGCAGUGGGAAAUAUUGCACAAUGGGCGGAAGCCUGAUGCAGCAACGCCGCGUGCGGGAUGACGGCCUUCGGGUUGUAAACCGCUUUCGCCUGUGACGAAGCGGGAGUGACGGUAAUGGGUAAAGAAGCACCGGCUAACUACGUG